AAAGAUUUAAGUUAUAAGACUAAAGGCCUUCAAAGCCUAAAGAAGGAGCUAAAUCCCCCUAAUCUUUGAU
RNAcentral lists this transfer RNA (70 nucleotides) under Desmognathus aeneus. RNAcentral's name for it is "tRNA-Trp". It matches the Rfam family "tRNA". From Rfam's summary of the family: Transfer RNA (tRNA) molecules are approximately 80 nucleotides in length. The record is from RNAcentral. Lineage: Eukaryota; Metazoa; Chordata; Amphibia; Caudata; Plethodontidae.